Molecule: ribosomal RNA, 673 nt
Filed under: uncultured soil bacterium
Lineage: Bacteria
Description: bacterial SSU rRNA
Rfam family: Bacterial small subunit ribosomal RNA
Source: RNAcentral
AUGGGCCCGCGGCCCAUUAGCUUGUUGGUGGGGUAACGGCCUACCAAGGCUACGAUGCUUAGCUGGUCUGAGAGGACGAUCAGCCACACUGGGACUGAGAUACGGCCCAGACUCCUACGGGAGGCAGCAGUGGGGAAUCUUGCGCAAGGGGCGAAAGCCUGACGCAGCAACGCCGCGUGAGCGAAGAAGGCCUUCGGGUUGUAAAGCUCUGUCAGGAGGGACGAAGCCACUCGGGUUAAUAGCCCAGAGGGUGACGGUACCUCCAGAGGAAGGUCCGGCUAACUACGUGCCAGCAGCCGCGGUAAUACGUAGGGGCCUAGCGUUGUCCGGAAUUAUUGGGCGUAAAGAGCGUGUAGGCGGCUUGCCAAGUCCGAUGUGAAAACUCGGGGCUUAACCCCGAGCCUGCAUUGGAAACUGGCUUGCUUGAGUCCGGAAGAGGGGACUGGAAUUCCUGGUGUAGCGGUGAAAUGCGCAGAUAUCAGGAAGAACACCCGUGGCGAAGGCGGGUCCCUGGGACGGUACUGACGCUGAGACGCGAAAGCGUGGGGAGCGAACAGGAUUAGAUACCCUGGUAGUCCACGCCGUAAACGAUGGGCACUAGGUGUGGGAGGUGUCGACUCCUUCCGUGCCGUAGCUAACGCAUUAAGUGCCCGCCUGGGGAGUACGGCCGCAA